GACGAACCGUGCGAACGUUGUUCGGAAUCACUGGGCUUAAAGGGCGCGUAGGCGGCUAGGCACGUCGGAUGUGAAAGCCCGGGGCUCAACCCCGGAACGGCAUCCGAUACGGCUUUGGCUCGAGACCGGGAGAGGAGGGUGGAAUUCCUGGUGUAGCGGUGAAAUGCACAGAUAUCAGGAAGAACACCCGUGGCGAAGGCGGCUCUCUGGGACGGUACUGACGCUGAGACGCGAAAGCGUGGGGAGCGAACAGG
This 254-nucleotide ribosomal RNA is filed under the name uncultured bacterium. Its description in RNAcentral is "partial 16S ribosomal RNA". It matches the Rfam family "Bacterial small subunit ribosomal RNA", at positions 524 to 776 of the family's 1533-position model. The record is from RNAcentral.